CGCGUGCACUGGUCCGGCCGGGCCUUUCCUUCUGUGGAACCCCAUGCCCUUCACUGGGUGUGGCGGGGAAACAGGACUUUUACUUUGAAAAAAUUAGAGUGCUCCAGGCAGGCCUAUGCUCGAAUACAUUAGCAUGGAAUAAUAAAAUAGGACGUGUGGUUCUAUUUUGCUGGUUUCUAGGACCGCCGUAAUGAUUAAUAGGGACAGUCGGGGGCAUCAGUAUUCAGUUGUCAGAGGUGAAAUUCUUAGAUCUACUGAAGACUAACUACUGCGAAAGCAUUUGCCAAGGAUGUUUUCAUUAAUCAGGAACGAAAGUUAGGGGAUCGAAGACGAUCAGAUACCGUCGUAGUCUUAACCAUAAACUAUGCCGACUAGGGAUCGGACGAUGUUAUUUUUUGACUCGUCCGGCACCUUACGAGAAAUCAAAGUGCUUGGGCUCCAGGGGGAGUAUGGUCGCAAGGCUGAAACUUAAAGAAAUUGACGGAAGGGCACCACCAGGGGUGGAGCCUGCGGCUUAAUUUGACUCAACACAGGGAAACUCACCAGGUCCAGACACAAUAAGGAUUGACAGAUUGAGAGCUCUUUCUUGAUUUUGUGGGUGGUGGUGCAUGGCCGUUCUUAGUUGGUGGAGUGAUUUGUCUGCUUAAUUGCGAUAACGAACGAGACCUUAACCUGCUAACUAGCCCGUAUUGCUCAGGCAGUACGCCGGCUUCUUAGAGGGACUAUCGG
RNAcentral lists this ribosomal RNA (729 nucleotides) under uncultured eukaryote. RNAcentral's name for it is "SSU rRNA". It matches the Rfam family "Eukaryotic small subunit ribosomal RNA", at positions 670 to 1426 of the family's 1831-position model. The record is from RNAcentral.